This 466-nucleotide ribosomal RNA is filed under the name uncultured bacterium. Its description in RNAcentral is "partial 16S ribosomal RNA". It matches the Rfam family "Bacterial small subunit ribosomal RNA", at positions 30 to 507 of the family's 1533-position model. The record is from RNAcentral.
CGAACGCUGGCGGCGUGCUUAACACAUGCAAGUCGAACGGAAAGGCCCUGCUUUUGUGGGGUGCUCGCGUGGCGAACGGGUGAGUAACACGUGAGUAACCUGCCCUUGACUUUGUGAUAACUUCAGGAAACUGGGGCUAAUACCGGAUAUGAGCUCCUGCUGCAUGGUGGGGGUUGGAAAGUUUCGGCGGUUGGGGAUGGACUCGCGGCUUAUCAGCUUGUUGGUGGGGUAGUGGCUUACCAAGGCUUUGACGGGUAGCCGGCCUGAGAGGGUGACCGGCCACAUUGGGACUGAGAUACGGCCCAGACUCCUACGGGAGGCAGCAGUGGGGAAUAUUGCACAAUGGGCGGAAGCCUGAUGCAGCAACGCCGCGUGCGGGAUGACGGCCUUCGGGUUGUAAACCGCUUUCGCCUGUGACGAAGCGUGAGUGACGGUAAUGGGUAAAGAAGCACCGGCUAACUACGUG